Non-coding RNA from Podarcis lilfordi (Lilford's wall lizard), 69 nucleotides. Lineage: Eukaryota; Metazoa; Chordata; Lepidosauria; Squamata; Lacertidae. The record is from the annotation of a GenBank genome assembly.
GGAUAGCUCAGCCCAUAGAGCAUGAGCUUCUUAAUCUCAGGAUCGUGAGUUUGAGCCCCAUGUUGGACA